CGUAAGCAACCUGCCCGAAAGACCGGGACAACAGCUCAAAGGGCUGCUAAUACCGGAUGUGUCCGCUUCCUCACAUGGGGAGGUGAGUAAAUCAUUUAUGGCUUUCGGAGGGGCUUGCGGCCUAUCAGCUAGAUGGCGAGGUAACGGCUCACCAUGGCGACGACGGGUAGCUGGUCUGAGAGGAUGGUCAGCCGGACUGGGACUGAGAUACGGCCCAG
This 218-nucleotide ribosomal RNA is filed under the name uncultured bacterium. RNAcentral describes it as "partial 16S ribosomal RNA". It matches the Rfam family "Bacterial small subunit ribosomal RNA", at positions 116 to 334 of the family's 1533-position model. The record is from RNAcentral.